Molecule: non-coding RNA, 30 nt
Filed under: Mus musculus (house mouse)
Lineage: Eukaryota; Metazoa; Chordata; Mammalia; Rodentia; Muridae
Source: RNAcentral
UGCAAUUAACAUUGGUCUUUUUAGAGUGUC